RNAcentral lists this ribosomal RNA (504 nucleotides) under uncultured bacterium. Its description in RNAcentral is "partial 16S ribosomal RNA". It matches the Rfam family "Bacterial small subunit ribosomal RNA", at positions 28 to 523 of the family's 1533-position model. The record is from RNAcentral.
GAUGAACGCUAGCUACAGGCUUAACACAUGCAAGUCGAGGGGCAGCAUGACGAUAGCUUGCUAUUGUUGAUGGCGACCGGCGCACGGGUGAGUAACGCGUAUCCAACCUGCCCUUGUCCAUCGGAUAACCCGUCGAAAGGCGGCCUAACACGAUAUGCAGUUCUCCGCAGGCAUCUAACGAGAAAGAAAUGUAAAGGAGAAGGAUGGGGAUGCGUCUGAUUAGCUUGUUGGCGGGGUAACGGCCCACCAAGGCGACGAUCAGUAGGGGUUCUGAGAGACAGGUCCCCACCAUUGGAACUGAGACACGGUCCAAACUCCUACGGGAGGCAGCAGUGAGGAAUAUGGGUCAAUGGGCGAGAGCCUGAACCAGCCAAGUAGCGUGCAGGACGACGGCCCUAUGGGUUGUAAACUGCUUUUAUGCGGGGAUAAGGUGAGCCGCGUGUGGCUUAUUGCAGGUACCGCAUGAAUAAGGACCGGCUAAUUCCGUGCCAGCCGCCGCCGUAA